Molecule: non-coding RNA, 73 nt
Organism: Phrynosoma platyrhinos (Desert horned lizard)
Lineage: Eukaryota; Metazoa; Chordata; Lepidosauria; Squamata; Phrynosomatidae
Source: the annotation of a GenBank genome assembly
GCCAGAGCAGUGUAGUGGUUUGAACAUUCGACUAUGAUCCUGGAGACCCUGAGUUCGAAUCCUGGCUCAGGCA